AUACGGAGGGUGCAAGCGUUAUUCGGAAUCACUGGGCGUAAAGGACGCGCAGGCGGGUUGGCAAGUCAGAUGUGAAAUCCUACAGCUUAACUGUAGAACUGCAUUUGAAACUGCUAACCUAGAGUAUGGGAGGGGGAGAUGGAAUUAGUGGUGUAGGGGUAAAAUCCGUAGAUAUCACUAGGAAUACCGAAAGCGAAGGCGAUCUCCUGGAACAUAACUGACGCUAAGGCGUGAAAGCGUGGGGAGCAAACAGGAUUAGAAACCCUAGUAGUCC
RNAcentral lists this ribosomal RNA (274 nucleotides) under uncultured bacterium. Its description in RNAcentral is "partial 16S ribosomal RNA". It matches the Rfam family "Bacterial small subunit ribosomal RNA", at positions 523 to 796 of the family's 1533-position model. The record is from RNAcentral.